UACGUAGGGAGCAAGCGUUGUCCGGAAUCAUUGGGCGUAAAGCGCGCGUAGGUGGCCACAUAAGUCCGUUGUGAAAGUCAAAGGCUCAACCUUUGAAAGCCGAUGGAUACUGUGUGGCUAGAGUACGGAAGAGGCGAGUGGAAUUCCUGGUGUAGCGGUGGAAUGCGCAGAUAUCAGGAGGAACACCAAUGGCGAAGGCAGCUCGCUGGGACGGUACUGACGCUGAGACGCGAAAGCGUGGGGAGCAAACAGG
RNAcentral lists this ribosomal RNA (253 nucleotides) under uncultured bacterium. RNAcentral describes it as "partial 16S ribosomal RNA". It matches the Rfam family "Bacterial small subunit ribosomal RNA", at positions 524 to 776 of the family's 1533-position model. The record is from RNAcentral.